This 443-nucleotide ribosomal RNA is filed under the name uncultured bacterium. RNAcentral's name for it is "partial 16S ribosomal RNA". It matches the Rfam family "Bacterial small subunit ribosomal RNA", at positions 338 to 795 of the family's 1533-position model. The record is from RNAcentral.
CCUACGGGGCGCAGCAGUGGGGAAUAUUGGGCAAUGGGCGCAAGCCUGACCCAGCAACGCCGCGUGAAGGAAGAAGGCUUUCGGGUUGUAAACUUCUUUUCUCAGGGACGAAGCAAGUGACGGUACCUGAGGAAUAAGCCACGGCUAAAUACGUGCCAGCAGCCGCGGGAAUACGUAGUUGGCAAGCGUUAGCCGGAUUGACUGGGGGGAAAGGGCGUGUAGGCGGGAAAGCAAGUCAGAUGUGAAAACCAUGGGCUCAACCUGUGGCCUGCAUUUGAAACUGUUUUUCUUGAGUACUGGAGAGGCAGACGGAAUUCCUAGUGUAGCGGUGAAAUGCGUAGAUAUUAGGAGGAACACCAGUGGCGAAGGCGGUCUGCUGGACAGCAACUGACGCUGAGGCGCGAAAGCGUGGGGAGCAAACAGGAUUAGAUACCCCAGUAGUC